GCCACAUCUUCUAAUGCUUCUAAUGCUAUGUGAAUGCACUAGAAUCAGUUUGAAGAAAAGAGAAAAGAAAAAGAGGAUCAAUUAUGGAAAAGCUUGUAUAGAGGGAAGAAAAGGAAGUAUAAACUACAGCCUGGCAAACCAUUCAUAAUGAACUAAUAAAGUGGAUGAGAAGUACAUGCUUAAAAAAAAAAAAAGCGGAGGCUAAAUGCAGAAAGUAUCCAUAAGAUUGGAACUAACCUCAGCUGCAGGGAAAAGCAUUUCCAGGUAUUAUGUUCAACAUUUCUCUGCUGAGCAUGGAGAGAGAACAACCUUCAGGGCUCCUCCUAACCUACUGAGCUUCUGGUCCAUUCUGACCCCACGGAGCCCACUAGGAGCUGGGAGGGGCUGAGUGGACACCAUGAAGGAUUCCGCAAGUUCUGGAGCCUGAAACACUCACCAGUUCCCGUCCUGCGAUGCCGUCCACGUUCCCACACUCCAGGACCUGCUAGGCAC
This 492-nucleotide long non-coding RNA is filed under the name Dasypus novemcinctus (nine-banded armadillo). Its description in RNAcentral is "lncRNA (ENSDNOG00000050665.1)". The record is from RNAcentral. Lineage: Eukaryota; Metazoa; Chordata; Mammalia; Cingulata; Dasypodidae.